UGUAUCAUGAUGUGUGUGCAACCUUGUACAGAAAGUCUCUGGGGCUUAGUGUGCUCAUGAAUCUGUGAUUCAACAAAUUUGACUGUUUGAGAUACUUAUUUAAGUACAAUUAUGUGUUUGUUUCUGUGACUUACUUAUUUCAUGUUGUAUCAUAACUGCAAAGUUUAUUCAUGUUAUGAGACUUUGCAGACCUUCCUUCUUUUUAAAGACUUUGAACAGUAUUCUUUUCUAAGACUAGAACUAAGCACAUGCCCAGACACAACCAAGAUGAUCCAUUGCCUGCCUCUACCAUGUCAGAGCUUUAAUUUGCCAGCAUAUGACACAAUAUUUCAGCUUAGUAGAUUCUUAAAUGUUAACUGAUAUCAAGAAUAAUCAACUUUCUUUAACCAAAAGCAUUUGAAGCUAAACAUCCUUUUGCAGUGGCUUCUGCCUGCAAAAACACACAGUCUUCUUUCACAGUUUCACCAUGCAGACAAUUAAGAAAGAAAACAAAUGCUGGAAAUUCUUCACAUGGAAGGAGAUAAGUUUUAACACUAUGUCACAAUGGCUGUUACUCUAAGUCUGCUGCUCAACUCUUGUUGAUGUAGAUGUAACACUUUAAAGCAUAUCAUUUCACCAGCAGGUGUCUCUAUCGGUUAGCAAGAUUUUUUUUUCAGAGUAGUAGCUUUACCAGUAGAUGAAAAUUUGGGGCCUAGAAAUGCUAAUGAUCAGAUACAGUAGCUCACAGACAAGAACUCAGAUCCAAACUCAAUAGUACAACCCCAAGAGUGUGGAUUAUGCUUUGAAUGUAGUAAUGACAAAGCUUUCUAACAUUUAAAGAUGUGUUGUAGAUUAAAUGCUUAUUUCUUUCAGUUAGUGUCUACCCAGUUUCCUUCACUGAAUGUGCAGAAGAGAAGAAAACAAUGCCUUCACCAGUCCCAGGAGUUCACACAUUUUAUUCAGCAGACAUUUCCGAGAACCUAUUUUGUGAGCUCAAAUUAUAAGUCUUAGAUCGAAUGGACUGGAAACAGGAAGUGUUGAGAUUUAUGGAUUCCAAAGCUGGAAGAAAUUCAAGAUGUCUACCAUUCAAUGAGUUGUCUGUCAUUGAAUCCUUCUACAAUACUCUUUCCUGGUAGUUAGGAUUAUUCGUUUGAUCACCUCAAUAAAGG
RNAcentral lists this long non-coding RNA (1148 nucleotides) under Cricetulus griseus (Chinese hamster). RNAcentral's name for it is "lncRNA (ENSCGRG00015016292.2)". The record is from RNAcentral. Lineage: Eukaryota; Metazoa; Chordata; Mammalia; Rodentia; Cricetidae.